RNAcentral lists this non-coding RNA (46 nucleotides) under Trypanosoma brucei brucei. The record is from RNAcentral. Lineage: Eukaryota; Euglenozoa; Kinetoplastea; Trypanosomatida; Trypanosomatidae.
AAAUUAACGACAAACAAAGAGAAAUACUUGAGAGAUAUGAUAAAAU